UACGGAGGAUGCAAGCGUUAUCCGGAAUUAUUGGGCGUAAAGCGUCCGCAGGUGGCACUUCAAGUCUGUCGUCAAAGACCGGGGCUUAACCCUGGAAAGGCGAUGGAAACUGAAAGGCUAGAGAGAGGUAGGGGUAGAGGGAAUUCCCAGUGUAGCGGUGAAAUGCGUAGAUAUCUGGAGGAACACCGGUGGCGAAGGCGGCAUCCUGGACCGGCAUUGACGCUGAGGAGCGAAAGCCAGGGGAGCAAACGGG
Molecule: ribosomal RNA, 253 nt
Filed under: uncultured bacterium
Lineage: Bacteria
Description: partial 16S ribosomal RNA
Rfam family: Bacterial small subunit ribosomal RNA
Source: RNAcentral